RNAcentral lists this ribosomal RNA (1224 nucleotides) under metagenome. RNAcentral describes it as "SSU rRNA". It matches the Rfam family "Eukaryotic small subunit ribosomal RNA", at positions 493 to 1774 of the family's 1831-position model. The record is from RNAcentral.
CUCAUGGUUUCACGGUAUUGCAAUGAGAACAAUUUAAAACCCUUAGCGAGAAUCAAGUGGAGGACAAGUCUGGUGCCAGCACCCGCGGUAAUUCCAGCUCCACUAGCGUAUAUUAAAGUUGUUGCAGUUAAAAAGCUCGUAGUUGAACCUCUGUCUGGGGCUAGUUUUGGCUUUGGUCAGGCUAGUUCUAGGCAUCCGCCUACAAGACUUAGAGGGCAUUCAGUUGUUCACUAGGAGGAGUAGGCAUUUUACUUUGAAAAAAUUAGAGUGUUUAAGGCAGGCAAUCGCCCGCAUAUAUUAGCAUGGAAUAAUAGAAUAGGACACUUUUCCAUUUCGUUGGUUAUUGGAAUCGUGUAAUGAUUAAUAGGGACAGUUGUGGGCAUUUGUAUUUAAUUGUCAGAGGUGAAAUUCUUGGAUUUAUUAAAGACAAACUAACGCGAAAGCAUUUGCCAAGGAUGUUUUCAUUAAUCAAGAACGAAAGUUAGGGGAUCAAAGACGAUCAGAUGCCGUCCUAGUCUUAACUAUAAACUAUUCCGACUCAAUGUUUGACUGGCUUAUAUAACCAGUUGAGCGUUGUAUGAGAAAUCAAAGUCUUUAGGUUCUGGGGGGAGUAUGGUUGCAAAGCUGAAACUUAAAGGAAUUGACGGAAGAGCACAACCAGGAGUGGAUUCUGCGGCUUAAUUUGACUCAACACGGGGAAACUUACCAGGUUAAAACAAUAGUGGGAUUGACAGUUUGAGAGCGCUUUCUUGAUUGGUUGGGUGGUGGUGCAUGGCCGUUCUUAGUUGGUGGAGUGAUUUGUCUGCUUAAUUGCGUUAACGAACGAGACCUUAACCUGCUUACUAGACUGGCGAUCAUCAAUCGUUAGCUCUUCUUAGAGGGACUUUGGUUGUUUUAACUCCAAGGAAGUUUGAGGCAAUAACAGGUCUGUGAUGCCCUUAGAUAUCCUGGGCCGCACGCGUCAUACAAUGACUAGUUCAGAAAGUUUUCUCCUGACCCGAAAGGGGAUGGGUAAUCUUGAUAAUACUAGUCGUGUUAGGGAUCGAUCUUUGCAAUUAUAGAUCUUGAACGAGGAAUUCCUAGUAAGUGCGGUUCAUCAGACCGUACUGAUUACGUCCCUGCUCUUUGUACACACCGCCCGUCGCUUCUACCGAGUGGGUGGUCCGGUGAGAUAAUUGAACUUCGCAGGUAACUGAGAGGAAAGAUUAUCAAACCUAUCCACCU